This 465-nucleotide ribosomal RNA is filed under the name uncultured bacterium. RNAcentral's name for it is "partial 16S ribosomal RNA". It matches the Rfam family "Bacterial small subunit ribosomal RNA", at positions 338 to 795 of the family's 1533-position model. The record is from RNAcentral.
UCUACGGGAGGCAGCAGUGGGGAAUAUUGCGCAAUGGGCGAAAGCCUGACGCAGCGACGCCGCGUGAGGGAUGAAGGUCUUCGGAUCGUAAACCUCUGUCAGCAGGGAAGAACGGUCACUGUGCUAAUCAGCAGUGAAUUGACGGUACCUGCAACGGAAGCACCGGCUAACUCCGUGCCAGCAGCCGCGGUAAUACGGAGGGUGCGAGCGUUAAUCGGAAUUACUGGGCGUAAAGCGCUCGUAGGCGGUAUGUCAAGUCAAGGGUGAAAUCCCCGCGCUCAACGUGGGAACUGCCUUUGAAACUGGCAAACUGGAGUGUGUGAGAGGAUAGUGGAAUUCCAGGUGUAGGAGUGAAAUCCGUAGAUAUCUGGAGGAAUAUCAGUGGCGAAGGCGACUAUCUGGCACAUAACUGACGCUGAGGAGCGAAAGCGUGGGUAGCAAACAGGAUUAGAUACCCGGGUAGUC